ACAGACAGAGUGUCAGCCAGGGAUGCAGUCAUCUGAAGACUUGACUGGGGCUGGAGAACCUCCUCUCAAGGCAACUCCCGCACAAGCCUGGGAAGUUCAUUCUGGCUGUUGGCAAGGGGCUUCUGUUCCUUGCCAUGUGGACUGCUUGCCAUAGGCUGCUUGAGUGGCCUCAUCACAGACAUGGUGGUUGGCUUUCCCCCGACUUUCGCUGUGCCAAAAGGGGGAACUAUUUCUCCUGGAACAGAGUGGACAAAUGUGCAGCAGGUGAACAGAAUCAUAUUUGCUUCCAGCUGUUGCACCAGCUGUGUCAUGCUGACAGUGGCCUCCACCUGUCUAACUCCUGCUUCCACCAAUUCAGAACCAAGAUAUUUUUAUACUCAUAUCCUGGUAUAAACCAACUGCUGCUGGAAGUUCUUUGAUGCUGAAUUUGGAAUCAAAUACAUUCUACUUUCUGGAAAUCCACAUACUGGGUGGCUGCUUCAAUAGCAGCGAACACGAGAUGUAAAAUGCAGCAAUGGUCAAGGAAUUUCUCAGGGGAGGAAUCAAUCCUCUCAUUUUGGUGGAGGAACCUUGGAUACAGGGAGGAUGAGGGACUGACUCAAAGUCAUCUGGCAACUUAGAGGCGAGGCCAGAGCUCCUCAAAUCUAGCUCUGAAUCCAUGCUCUUUUUAUUGAGCCGGUCAUGACGUAACCCCCCAAAUGAGUGCAGCUUUUAAUCUCCCACAUCAAGGGGCCUGCUGGCUGCAGACUCAUGCAUACACAUCACGGUGGUUUCUGGGUGGUUGAUGCUCAUCACCCUCUGACUUCGUUUCUUUUUUCCUUUGCAAAAUGGCUAUUGCCCAGAGGCAGCAUCUCUUUUCUAAAAAGUGAACAUGCCAGAAGGGUUUUUGGAAACUGCCUUGCUAUCUGUCAGGAGCCAGAUGAUUCACAGGGAUGAACCAAUGCACAUAACAAGGAUACCUGAUUGGAUUACCAAUUAGCCAUCUCCACCUCUGCAGGGUGGUUGGAAAGAAGAGAAAAGGCAGUGUUUAGUUUGGGCAAAUACCAAAAGGACUUUAUCAUUCUCAAGGCAUCAGCGUGGCACAUUAGACCUCUUCCAAGCCAUUCCACUGGAACUUCUCUCUCCAAAUGCUCCAGCAAGAGUAAACUUGUUAUGCAAACAUUGGAUCAUUGUGUCUGAGCUACAGAAGCACCUCUGUGUCAGUGAAAGGGGAGAAACUGUCUGACUUGCGUCUGUUUUUAAUGAUGUCUCUGCUGCUGGGAAAAUUUGGAAGCUGCAGGACAUUAGAAAGGAUAUCGUGAACAGCCAUAUGAAGAGAUGGGCGAGGAUGUGCUGAGCUUCCGUGCCCUCCCUGGGCCUGCUGCCCUCCCACCUAGAAACGCUCAGCAACGCUGAAGCUUAUCAAUUCGUGGUCAACAGCUAAUAAAGAGCUUGAUCUCC
Pongo pygmaeus (Bornean orangutan) is the source of this 1440-nucleotide long non-coding RNA. RefSeq lists it as uncharacterized. The record is from RefSeq and is a predicted model, not a curated record. The transcript has 3 exons. NCBI's taxonomy places the organism in Eukaryota, Metazoa, Chordata, Mammalia, Primates, Hominidae.